This 221-nucleotide long non-coding RNA is filed under the name Elaeis guineensis (African oil palm). Its description in RNAcentral is "long non-coding RNA (EGUI_LNC025527)". The record is from RNAcentral. Lineage: Eukaryota; Viridiplantae; Streptophyta; Magnoliopsida; Arecales; Arecaceae.
AUCCAACUGAGAUCACCAUGAUAAUAUAAGAUCACUGAUGAUCCAAACCUGAGGUGAUCUGAUCCUUAGUGAUCUAAGAUCACUAUAUUUGAUUGGCUAUAGUACAGUGAUUAAAGAUCUCUGAAUAUGUACAAGUAAUUUAUUUGGUAUAUUAUAGGAAUCUAAGAUCACUGACCAUAUAAUACCAAAAAUAUUCCUGACAUAUCUCAAAGAAAAAAAAU